RNAcentral lists this long non-coding RNA (735 nucleotides) under Brassica napus (rape). RNAcentral describes it as "long non-coding RNA (BNAP_LNC006266)". Lineage: Eukaryota; Viridiplantae; Streptophyta; Magnoliopsida; Brassicales; Brassicaceae. The record is from RNAcentral.
AAGUUAAUAUUAUCCAUUAGAUUUAGGUUUCAGAUUGUGUAAACCUAUUGAGCUUAUAAAUAAGCAUGUAAAUGGCGAUUUGGAGCCUUAAGGGAGUAAGGGGGAUUUCCCCUCUCCACUUCUUGGAAAUAAGAAAAUGUGUUCUUGAAUCAGAUUCCCUUAAUCUACCCCUUUCUUAGUCUCUAAUCUCUUAAUCUCUCAAAGUCUCUUGUUUCUGAUUUAAGUAAACACUCUCAUCAAUCUCUCUUUCUAAAUCACCUAGAGCAAGCUCUCAUCUUUCUCCAUUGGAGUUUAUACACACACAAACACAACAAGAGAAGAGAACUCUACAAAUCUCACAUGGUAUCAGAGCCAGGUUCAUCAGAACCUGAGCUGUAGCUUCCGCAAAUCACUUGCUCUCACCUCAGCUCAAAUCAAAGCCUAGAAGACAUGUACUUGCGGUUCUGGUUACUUCAAGAAGAAGAAGACUGAAGCAUGGCGUGUUACUCCUUAUCUCUCAGCCAGUUCAACCUGUACCUGAUGAAGACUCUUGUUGGAAGCAAAGGUGUGUGGAGAGGCCUCGCGAACCUUGUCCAUGGCGCCUUGUCCAAAGGCUGUUCCUCAUCUGGUGUGAAGAGAAAGCUAUCCAGAAGAUGGCGAAUAGAGGGCUUGAAGAAAGGAGGGGUUUUGUGAGUAUGAGAAACAAGGAGGAAGUCAUGAACUGAAGGAGAAGGAGAUGGGUAACGAUCCAGACUC